CCCUUAGAUGUUCUGGGCUGCACGCGUGUUACAAUCGGGAGUACAACAAGAUUGCAAAUCCUAGUGGAUGAGUGGUUCUUCGAAAUUUUCUGAAGACUGGGAUAGUUGAUUGGAAUUAUUCAACUCGAACGAGGAAUUCCUUGUAAUUGUAAUUCAUUAUAUUGUAAUGAAUACGUCCCUGCCCUUUGUACACACCGCCCGUCGCUCCUACCGAUUGAACGAUCCGGUGAAUUAUUUGGAGUAGCUCUGGAAGUUGCAGAACUUCCUAUGUCACGAAAUUUUGUAAACCUUAUCGUUUAGAGGAAGGAAAAGUCGUAACA
This 320-nucleotide ribosomal RNA is filed under the name uncultured eukaryote. Its description in RNAcentral is "partial 18S ribosomal RNA". It matches the Rfam family "Eukaryotic small subunit ribosomal RNA", at positions 1470 to 1796 of the family's 1831-position model. The record is from RNAcentral.